CAGUCGCCGCGGUAACACAGAGGGUGCGAGCGUUAAUCGGAUUUACUGGGCGUAAAGCGUGCGUAGGCGGCUUCUUAAGUCGGAUGUGAAAUCCCUGAGCUUAACUUAGGAAUUGCAUUCGAUACUGGGAAGCUAGAGUAUGGGAGAGGAUGGUAGAAUUCCAGGUGUAGCGGUGAAAUGCGUAGAGAUCUGGAGGAAUACCGAUGGCGAAGGCAGCCAUCUGGCCUAAUACUGACGCUGAGGUACGAAAGCAUGGGGAGCAAACAGGAUUAGAUACCCGGGUAGUCCCUGUCUCUUAUAC
This 301-nucleotide ribosomal RNA is filed under the name uncultured bacterium. Its description in RNAcentral is "partial 16S ribosomal RNA". It matches the Rfam family "Bacterial small subunit ribosomal RNA", at positions 509 to 807 of the family's 1533-position model. The record is from RNAcentral.